UUGGGCUGCACAGAGCUGGGGACAAGUCUGAGCCACUUCCAGGCUCCUGUGGCGCAUGCGCAGAAGGCGGGGCAGCUUCAGGGCUCCAGCGCGCAUGCGCCGGGUUGUCUCGAACACAGCCAGUGCAUGUGCACGAGGCCCUCACGCGCGACCCGGCUCCACGCGCGGCCUCACCUGCGUGUGCUCGCCCUCACGGAAGGCCUGGGCCACGCGGCCCCGCAGUCCUCGGAAGACCCUGGCAAAGAAGUGGAUGGGGAAACAGCAGAGAAGAGGCGAGGAGAAGCAGAGAACAUGACAGACAAAUAGGAAUUCACUGAUACCCAGGGCAGAAAACCAUGCCAGGCAAGCAGGAGGCAAAGAAGGAAAAGCAGGGAAGAUGGCAGAUGAGUGACUAAGGAAGGAAGAAACCCCCGCCAGCCCACCAGGAGAGAAAGGUCCCUGCAGGGCAGCUGAAGAAGAACGAAUGGAAGCAGGAAAAGAAAGCUCAGCAACAACAAGUGUGGGUUGGGGUGGGCAGGAGGGAGGGAGCGAAAUGUUUAAUGUAUGCUUAGAUAGGUACAGAUGGAGACUGUUGUGCACAUCUCUACACUUUCAAACACCCAUUAGGAGCAAGCAGCCACAUGCUUCAAGCAGCACCAUGCAUUCGGUCUUGGGUUGGCCCCAAAUUGUGUUCGACGAGGUUGAGGCUUUGUGCUAGUUGUGCGUAUUGAUAUGCAGCAGUCAAGAGUUUUUCAGGUUGUCUGGCUCUGCUAGUUAAGCAGUUGAUCAAAAUAGAUGUGUGAUUGAAGGCAGUGUGUAGGUUUUUCUUGGUUGGGUUGUUGAACAGUUCUCGGUGUUAGUGUAGAAAUGCAAGUUUGUGCUCAGUUCUGUUUGUGACUUGGCUGUAGCUUGCAGGGUCAAUUUGAGGCUGUUUGUGGUGCAGUUUGUUCGCGUCUGUAAGUUAAGGCUCCAUGGGUGUUCAAAAGUGUUUAAACUCCAGCUUCAAGGGGACAAAGAUCUCAACCUGUGUCCAAACAAUCAUAAAGGUAGUUGGCGUGCUCAGCAUCAAACUGGUAGGAGCAAGUGGUCCUAAGAUGUGCACAGUUGCACGAUAAAUGGUAUAAAAAACUUCAUCUUGUGCUUUUCUACAGAGAAGCUUUGGUCAUUAGCCUUUCCUGUUGAGGGCUGACUGAAGGGAUAAACUUUUUCAUUCUGUCUGCCGAUCCAAUCUGUGUUCUUACGUGUUUAAUGCAAAUAUUUCCCGUUCUGACUGGCCAAUGGUAAAAGCAUACGUAGCGGACUGUUCCUAGUCAUCAGUUUACAAUUGUUAAUGCACUGUAGGAAAUCAGUCCUGAUUUUUGGAGGAAUUAAAAAAUAAAGUACAGCGAAGUUGUGGUGCUUUGUAUAAUUUGGUGAAGUUCAGCUGAUCCUUGUCUAAAAAGAAAAAAAAUAGUCCCAAUAAAAAUAAAAUGCUCAGGAGACUUGUGAGCUUCUUGGUGUUUUUUUUUAUUUUAGUUGUUUCAGACCUUCUUCUCUGAACACCUUUAGUACAAGUCUUGCUGCCUCUAAUGGCAGGGUGGGUGCUUUUUCUCUAAGGGCUGGGUCCCAGCGGUGGGAAGCUGCAUUGUCACCGUUGCAAGGAGAACGACUGCGUGGAUCCCCAGCUGCCUCCAGGUUUUCGUGAGUCCCUUAAGUCCAGCUGCGGUCCCCUUUGCCUGUUUAAUGUAAUGUCUGCAGGCUUCCAGCCAGCAUUACCCAUGUCAUCCCUGAGGGGCUGCUGAGUUCGG
Long non-coding RNA from Alligator sinensis (Chinese alligator), 1766 nucleotides. RefSeq lists it as uncharacterized. The transcript is spliced from 5 exons. The record is from RefSeq and is a predicted model, not a curated record. Lineage: Eukaryota; Metazoa; Chordata; Crocodylia; Alligatoridae.